CUGGCUCAGGAUGAACGCUGGCGGCGUGCUUAACACAUGCAAGUCGAACGGAGUUUUAACGGAAGUUUCGGAUGGAAGUUUAAAACUUAGUGGCGGACGGGUGAGUAACGCGUGGGUAACCUGCCUCAUACAGGGGGAUAACAGUUAGAAAUGACUGCUAACACCGCAUAAUAUAGCGAAACCGCAUGAUUUUGCUAUCAAAUAUUUAUAGGUAUGAGAUGGGCCCGCGUCUGAUUAGCUAGUUGGUGGGGUAAAAGCCUACCAAGGCGACGAUCAGUAGCCGGCUUGAGAGAGUGACCGGCCACAUUGGGACUGAGACACGGCCCAAACUCCUACGGGAGGCAGCAGUGGGGAAUAUUGGACAAUGGGGGAAACCCUGAUCCAGCGAACCGCCGCGUGAGUGAAGAAGUAUUUCGGUAUGUAAAGCUCUAUCAGCAGGGAAGAUAAUGACAGUACCUGACUAAGAAGCCCCGGCUAACUACGUGCCAGCCGCAGC
This 496-nucleotide ribosomal RNA is filed under the name uncultured bacterium. Its description in RNAcentral is "bacterial SSU rRNA". It matches the Rfam family "Bacterial small subunit ribosomal RNA", at positions 19 to 518 of the family's 1533-position model. The record is from RNAcentral.